Molecule: long non-coding RNA, 2573 nt
Filed under: Homo sapiens (human)
Lineage: Eukaryota; Metazoa; Chordata; Mammalia; Primates; Hominidae
Description: HSALNT0079852
Source: RNAcentral
GUUUCCACGGCUGGGGAUGGGAGUCCUGCCUUUUCCCUUUGUUUCUGGCUGUCUUAAGGGCUAUUUCUGUCUUCAGGAUUACGGCUUCUUUGACGCAUGAACGUUUUGGAAUUUAUGAGGAUUUUAAUGAGGAUUUUCUGAAAAAAAUAAAAAUUGUUAUGUUCUGGGCAUUCAUCUAUCCUCUCAUCAGCUUUUGAUCUACCACAUCUUGGGAUAUGAAUAAUGUUUCUGUUAAUGAGCCAGCCUCUGGGAACCAUCACUCUCCUAUUGCUUAAGAUUUCCAGUUGUUACCUUAGAAUUUUGCAACAUAAAUUUACAAUUAAUCCAAACCUGCUUUCAAAUAACACCAUAUCACCACGUAGGUAAGCCAAGUACCUUAUAAUAACAAAAUAUUACUAGCUUCUCCCUUCUGUCCUUAUAGUAUUGUUACAUUCAUUUCACAUAUGCAUAAGCAUGCAUAUAUAUGUGUAUGUAUAUAUAUAUAUAUACACACAUAUAUGUGUACAUAAUUGAAUACACUAUUGCUAUUAUUAUUAUUGUUUUCUGUUAGAUCAACUAAGGAAAAGAAAAGUUAGUAUUUUACCUUUACUUAUGCAUUUUCUGGUGCUCUUCCUUUAUUUAUGUUGAUCUGAAUUUCUGACCUACAUAAUUUUUUCCCUAUGAAGAACUUCUUUUGCAAGGCAGGUUUACUAAUGAAAAAAAAUCCCUUAAUUUUUAUUUUUCUGAGGAAAUCCUUAUUGCUCCUUUACUUUUGAAGAAUAACCUCACAAGGUGCAGAGCUUUAAGUUGGUGGGUUUUAUCUCUUAACACUUAAAAUAUUUUAUCCCACUCUCUUCUUGCUAUGCAGCAAGCUUGCUUGCUUCCUUGUUUCUCAGGAGAAGUCAGUUGUAGUUCUCUGCUCCUCUAUAGGUGAACUGUUCUUUUCCUCUGGUUUCUCCCAAGAUUUUUUUUCAGCUUUGAUUUUCUAAGUUUUUAUAUGAUAAAUGCCUAGAUGUACUUUUUUGGCAUUUAUUCUUCUUGGUAUUUUCUGAGAUUUCUGGAUCUGUAGUUUGGUGUCUGACAUUAAUUUAGGGAAUUUGUAAUUUUUGCGUCCAUAUUGCUUUAGCUCCUAUCUCUCCUUCUUCUCUUUCCAGCAUUAUCAUUAUGUAUAAGUUACAUCUAUUUAUAGUUAUGCCACAGUUCUUGCACAUUGUGUUCUAUUCUUAGCAUUUUAGUCAUAGUUUAAGUUGUUUUUUUUUUUUAAAUUCCUGGUCUGAUAAUUCCAACAUUCCUGCCAUAUCUGAAUAUUGCUCUGAUGAUUGUCAGGUCGCUUCAAACAGUUCUUUUGCCUUUCAGUGUUUCUUGUUAAUUUUUUUAUUACACCUUGUUGAAAGGUAGAUGUGUUGUGCCAGGUAAAAGAAACUUCUAUAAACAGGCUUAUAGUAAUAAAGUGGUAAGAAGGGAGUGGACAGGAAGUGAUGUAUAGUCCUACUAUUACAUCUCAGUCUUACGGUAAUCCCAUGCCUCUGGACUGCAGACUUUUCUCAGUCUCCCUACUCCCCACAUUAGGUGAGACAAAAUGACUAGAUGGGCUACAGUUGGGUAUUUCCCUACCCUUAGGUAGAUUAAGCUCUGAUAUAAUCCCAGCAGGUUAGGUUCUGGUUAAUUAGUUUCUUUUGAGGGUAGGCCUAAUUAAGAAGAAGAGAAUUCUCUGGUGUGUUUCAAAAUGUUUCCUAUUCCCCUUCCCUUGCCAGAGGCAUGAGGGGAUUUUUCUCCAGUAUUCACUGUUAGGAUCUGGUAGAAUUCCUGGAAAUAAAAGUUGUAAGAGUCUGAGGGUCCCCCUAGAGUUUUUAACUCUCAGACUUGUACAUUCUGAGCCUCCAGCUAUCCAUCAACUACUGUUCAGAUUUUUCUAACCCAGCACUGUUGCUAUGAAGGUUUCUACUAACGGAUUUCUACUCCAGUAAGCUGUGAUUCUCUGUAUGCACCUAUCUCUCCAAUUGUUGGGGCAGUAGAUUUGUCCUGAGACCCCACUUGUCUGAUGGAGCUAAGAAGAGUUUUUAAUGUUUUAGUUUGUUCAGCUUUUUAUCUUUUGCUAGGACUGAGUGAAGACUUCUAAACUCCUUAGGUGCUUGACCAGAAACCAGAAGUCUCUAACUUUAUAAACAUACAUACAUUUGGUUUGGUCUGUUUCUUCCCCCUUUGAAUUUCUUUAUUAAACCUGUCAAAUUUUGUCCAGGCUUCAUGAUUAACCUAAAAAUGCUACCUAAUAUCUGACACUUGAUCUCCCAACUUAGACAUAAUUUGUUUUUAUUUUUAAAUUUAUAUCUACUAUAUUUUAAGGUACUUAUUAAUUUUGACUCCUGUGGGAAGUGUACAUGAAGCUAAGCAUGUAUUUAGAUUAAGUGCUAAUUAGUCAGACUUCCCAGAAAAAGUAGGAUUUGAACUGGUUCUGAAAAAUGAGUCAUAUACUGACCAAAUGGUCUCUGACAAAUAAUUUGACAUUUUUGGUAUUUUGAGAACACUAUAUUCAAAAUGCACUUUUAAAUAAGCUUUCUCUUAUGUGCUUUAUAACUGGGGUUGACAAACUACAG